GGACCCGCACAAGCAGUGGAGCAUGUGGUUUAAUUCGAUGCAACGCGAAGAACCUUACCAGGGUUUGACAUCCUGCGAAUCUCUUGGAAACGAGAGAGUGCCUUCGGGAACGCAGUGACAGGUGGUGCAUGGCUGUCGUCAGCUCGUGUCGUGAGAUGUUGGUUAAGUCCCGCAACGAGCGCAACCCACGUCGUUAGUUGCCAGCAUUUAGUUGGGCACUCUAGCGAGACCGCCGGUGAUAAACCGGAGGAAGGUGUGGAUGACGUCAAGUCAUCAUGCCCCUUACAUCCUGGGCUACACACGUACUACAAUGCUACGGACAAAGGGCAGCAAACUCGCGAGAGCUAG
This 348-nucleotide ribosomal RNA is filed under the name uncultured bacterium. RNAcentral's name for it is "bacterial SSU rRNA". It matches the Rfam family "Bacterial small subunit ribosomal RNA", at positions 917 to 1267 of the family's 1533-position model. The record is from RNAcentral.